AGUACCAUUUAGCUCAGUAAAUCAGUAUAGAUGUAUGAUAGAUAUGUAUACUGUGAACUCCUAUACAGUAUCUAAGUACAAAUAAAUUGUAUUAACUCUAUAAAUAUUACAUAGAUGCAAAACACGAAUCAGAAUUAUAAGUUAACAAUAAAAAUUCUAAGCAACCAAGAAGUGGAUUCAAUAUUUUUCGCGUUUUUUUGUUAAUAUAAAAUGUUUAGAAUGUUAUAAGGGAAGGUGUUUAAGAAAAAACAAGUACGUUUAUCGAGAUCAAUCAAACAGCUUUAUUUAGGCAUACUAAAUUAACCGGCGCACCCAGUAUUUCUCGUGAAAACGUUUUUUCUUGCACAAGAAAAAAUAGACUAUUUUUAGUAAUCUAAAAUUCAGGCGAUUUCAAUUGCUGCAGCUUGCCAUGCAAUAAUUAUACCCAUAUUAAAAAAAUUUUUAUAUUCCGAAUCGCAGUAUAAUCAAGAAUAAUGAAGCUACCUACGAUUUAUUUUCUAUUAUUUAGUUGUGUCGAGUUUUCCUACGCCAGCUAUAUAUACAUACUAAUUAAAACAUAUUAGCCUUAAAACUAAGAUACUUGUUUCUUGACUUACUAACGGAUGUGACUAUAUCGAUUCGUCUAUUGAAACUGAUCAUUAAUAUACUCCGUUACUGCUUUGCAA
This 665-nucleotide small RNA is filed under the name Drosophila yakuba. Its description in RNAcentral is "GE28427". The record is from RNAcentral. Lineage: Eukaryota; Metazoa; Arthropoda; Insecta; Diptera; Drosophilidae.